GAGCUUGUUUGGGACAAAAUUCUUGUGCUCCUGAAAAACUCCAAACUUUCACCUGAAAGGGCAAACAUCCUGGGCUGAAGAACUUUGCUGGGACUACCCAGAAAUGGAACAAACAUGCACCCAAAGAGUUCUUGGGCAAAUUUGAUUUGCACUUUUCUCUGCAGUCACCCUACGUGACCUUCAAGCAGAGAUAAUGAGAGAGAAAUUCUUGGGAAAAGCGCAAGGAAAAUAGAUGCUUCUAACAUCACGAAAGAAAAAACCUAUGGUCGUUCUCAGCCUUUGGUUGUUCCUCUGACUUGAUCCAGAUUAUGGAAAGCAGGGCUGGGGAAUGACAAUGAUCAAGACGGCAGAGCUAGGAUUGCACCUCCUCUUUUGCAUGGUUUGAGAAAAGUCUGUGCAGCGGGUCUGUCUUGUGCCAGAUGAAAAAGAAAUCAUCACAAAAGACAGCAGCUGAACAGCCUUGCGCUGGAGGAGUAACCUGUGCCAAGGAGACCUUGAAAGGUGGCAUGAGCUGCGUGUUCAGAGCUGCUGGGAGAGGACACAGUGAUUUGGAGAGAAGCCUCAGGCGCACUCUUCCGUUUCCAAGGGCAGGAAACAUCUGA
This 602-nucleotide long non-coding RNA is filed under the name Struthio camelus australis. Its description in RNAcentral is "lncRNA (ENSSCUG00000010804.1)". The record is from RNAcentral. Lineage: Eukaryota; Metazoa; Chordata; Aves; Struthioniformes; Struthionidae.